Molecule: ribosomal RNA, 560 nt
Filed under: Nonomuraea sp. 419B03
Lineage: Bacteria; Bacillati; Actinomycetota; Actinomycetes; Streptosporangiales; Streptosporangiaceae
Also listed under: 15 other names
Description: bacterial SSU rRNA
Rfam family: Bacterial small subunit ribosomal RNA
Source: RNAcentral
GAGCGGCGAACGGGUGAGUAACACGUGAGUAACCUGCCCCUGACUCUGGGAUAAGCCUGGGAAACCGGGUCUAAUACCGGAUGUGACCUCCUCCGGCAUCGGAUGGUGGUGGAAAGUUUUUCGGUCAGGGAUGGGCUCGCGGCCUAUCAGCUUGUUGGUGGGGUAGUGGCCUACCAAGGCGACGACGGGUAGCCGGCCUGAGAGGGCGACCGGCCACACUGGGACUGAGACACGGCCCAGACUCCUACGGGAGGCAGCAGUGGGGAAUAUUGCGCAAUGGGCGGAAGCCUGACGCAGCGACGCCGCGUGGGGGAUGACGGCCUUCGGGUUGUAAACCUCUUUCAGCAGGGACGAAGUUGACGUGUACCUGCAGAAGAAGCGCCGGCUAACUACGUGCCAGCAGCCGCGGUAAUACGUAGGGCGCAAGCGUUGUCCGGAAUUAUUGGGCGUAAAGAGCUCGUAGGUGGCUGGUCGCGUCUGCCGUGAAAGCCCNCAGNUUAACUGCGGGUCUGCGGUGGAUACGGGCCGGCUAGAGGUAGGUAGGGGCAAGUGGAAUUCCU